UGAUGUUAGCGGCGGACGGGUGAGUAACACGUGGGUAACCUGCCUGUAAGACUGGGAUAACUCCGGGAAACCGGGGCUAAUACCGGAUGGUUGUUUGAACCGCAUGGUUCAAACAUAAAAGGUGGCUUCGGCUACCACUUACAGAUGGACCCGCGGCGCAUUAGCUAGUUGGUGAGGUAACGGCUCACCAAGGCAACGAUGCGUAGCCGACCUGAGAGGGUGAUCGGCCACACUGGGACUGAGACACGGCCCAGACUCCUACGGGAGGCAGCAGUAGGGAAUCUUCCGCAAUGGACGAAAGUCUGACGGAGCAACGCCGCGUGAGUGAUGAAGGUUUUCGGAUCGUAAAGCUCUGUUGUUAGGGAAGAACAAGUACCGUUCGAAUAGGGCGGUACCUUGACGGUACCUAACCAGAAAGCCACGGCUAACUACGUGCCAGCAGCCGCGGUAAUACGUAGGUGGCAAGCGUUGUCCGGAAUUAUUGGGCGUAAAGGGCUCGCAGGCGGUUUCUUAAGUCUGAUGUGAAAGCCCCCGGCUCAACCGGGGAGGGUCAUUGGAAACUGGGGAACUUGAGUGCAGAAGAGGAGAGUGGAAUUCCACGUGUAGCGGUG
Molecule: ribosomal RNA, 611 nt
Filed under: Bacillus tequilensis
Lineage: Bacteria; Bacillati; Bacillota; Bacilli; Caryophanales; Bacillaceae
Description: bacterial SSU rRNA
Rfam family: Bacterial small subunit ribosomal RNA
Source: RNAcentral